AACGGUGAAAUCAAGCAAAAUAAUUUUUAACUAGGAUUCUAUUAAGCAACUCACAUUUCUUUAUGUUUGUCUACAGAUGUGUGUCAGUCAGCUAAACAUUGCUCAGUCCCUCAAUUCCAGUGUUCAGUCAUGUCAGGCCAGUCUCAAAUUUAAACAUUGUUUGUUGUUGCUUUUUGGUAAUUCUCAAUUUUCAUCUUAUCUAUUGUUUG
RNAcentral lists this long non-coding RNA (209 nucleotides) under Brassica napus (rape). RNAcentral's name for it is "long non-coding RNA (BNAP_LNC015124)". Lineage: Eukaryota; Viridiplantae; Streptophyta; Magnoliopsida; Brassicales; Brassicaceae. The record is from RNAcentral.